GACGAACGCUGGCGGCGUGCUUAACACAUGCAAGUCGUACGGUAAGGCCCUUUCGGGGGUACACGAGUGGCGAACGGGUGAGUAACACGUGAGUAACCUGCCCACAACUUUGGGAUAACGCUAGGAAACUGGUGCUAAUACUGGAUAUGUGCUCCUGCUGCAUGGUGGGGGUUGGAAAGCUCCGGCGGUUGUGGAUGGACUCGCGGCCUAUCAGCUUGUUGGUGGGGUAGUGGCCUACCAAGGCGGCGACGGGUAGCCGGCCUGAGAGGUUGACCGGCCACAUUGGGACUGAGAUACGGCCCAGACUCCUACGGGAGGCAGCAGUGGGGAAUAUUGCACAAUGGGCGCAAGCCUGAUGCAGCAACGCCGCGUGCGGGAUGACGGCCUUCGGGUUGUAAACCGCUUUCAGCAGGGACGAAGCUUUUUGUGACGGUACCUGCAGAAGAAACACCGGCUAACUACGU
This 464-nucleotide ribosomal RNA is filed under the name uncultured bacterium. RNAcentral's name for it is "partial 16S ribosomal RNA". It matches the Rfam family "Bacterial small subunit ribosomal RNA", at positions 28 to 506 of the family's 1533-position model. The record is from RNAcentral.